UGUAGUGAUGGGGUGUGGUGCUGGAGCAAGUAAAGAUACAAAUGAGAAGAAUGGGGCGCCGCAUUUGCAGUAUCAGUAGUAAACUAAUGGGUUUUAGAAACACGCAAUUGUGCUUACCAGGCAAUGUUGUGAAAAGUCACAACUACUGUAGAUCGCUUUACCAGUUAUUUGCAAUCCCGACCAGUGGGCGGUUAUCCUGGGCUGCAGCCGUGGUCCUCUGUGUUACCCUCAGGGCAAACAGCAGGUAUAUAUUGAAAAAAAGGUCUGGAUCACGGAAGCAAGGGGGGUGGGCUGAUGUAGUAAUGGGGUGUGGUGCUGUAGUAAUGGGGGUUGACGCUGUA
Long non-coding RNA from Bufo bufo (common toad), 341 nucleotides. RefSeq lists it as uncharacterized. NCBI's taxonomy places the organism in Eukaryota, Metazoa, Chordata, Amphibia, Anura, Bufonidae. The transcript is spliced from 3 exons. The record is from RefSeq and is a predicted model, not a curated record.